AUUGAACGCUGGCGGCAUGCUUUACACAUGCAAGUCGGACGAGUGGCGAACGGGUGAGUAACAUAUCGGAACGUACCUAGUAAUUGGGGAUAACUAAUCGAAAGAUUAGCUAAUACCGUAUAUUAUUCGCGCGGCCGAUAUCUGAUUAGCUGGUUGGUGGGGUAAAGGCCUACCACGGCGACGAUCAGUAGCGGGUCUGAGAGGAUGAUACGCCACACGGGGACUGAGACACGGCCCAGGCUCCUACGGGAGGCAGCAGUGGGGAAUUUUAGACAAUGGGCGCAAGCCUGAUCCAGCCAUGCCGCGUGUGUGAAGAAGGCCUUCGGAUUGUAAAGGACUUUCAGUCGGGAGGCGUUACCGACAGAAGAAGCACCGGCUAACUCCGUGCCAGCAGCCGCGGUAAUUC
This 406-nucleotide ribosomal RNA is filed under the name uncultured bacterium. RNAcentral describes it as "partial 16S ribosomal RNA". It matches the Rfam family "Bacterial small subunit ribosomal RNA", at positions 30 to 526 of the family's 1533-position model. The record is from RNAcentral.